This 253-nucleotide ribosomal RNA is filed under the name uncultured bacterium. RNAcentral's name for it is "partial 16S ribosomal RNA". It matches the Rfam family "Bacterial small subunit ribosomal RNA", at positions 524 to 776 of the family's 1533-position model. The record is from RNAcentral.
UACGAAGGGGGCUAGCGUUGUUCGGAUUUACUGGGCGUAAAGCGCACGUAGGCGGAUCGAUCAGUCAGGGGUGAAAUCCCAGGGCUCAACCCUGGAACUGCCUUUGAUACUGUCGAUCUGGAGUAUGGAAGAGGUGAGUGGGAUUCCGAGUGUAGAGGUGAAAUUCGUAGAUAUUCGGAGGAACACCAGUGGCGAAGGCGGCUCACUGGUCCAUUACUGACGCUGAGGUGCGAAAGCGUGGGGAGCAAACAGG